Molecule: long non-coding RNA, 787 nt
Filed under: Homo sapiens (human)
Lineage: Eukaryota; Metazoa; Chordata; Mammalia; Primates; Hominidae
Description: HSALNT0350494
Source: RNAcentral
CCGAGGCCCUGAGGCCCAGGGCGGGGACCAAAAGCCGCGCGCUUGUGACGAUGUCGCUGCGGGGCACGCUAAGGGGCGGAGAGGAAAUUUAGGGCCUGCCUUUUGUACAUUCGGUUAUUCAGCCCAGAAAUAUGUAUUCAACCCCAGGCGCGUGCCUGGCAUUGUGGAAGGCGACACCUACCAGGAUGAGACAACUCUACUCAGACCCAAGCACACCAAGCCAGGAAUGCACAAAGGACGGCUGAUGUUUGAGAUAAGAACUGUCUCAAGGACUUUCUAUAAUAACCACACAAGGAAUUCCUCAUGUACGUCACAAGUCUCAUGCGUUUCUCCACCUACGUUUUGCACAUGUGCACACAUUUAUUGAUUUAGAGGCAGGGAUCUUGCUGUGCUGCCCAGACCGGACUCAAAUUCCUGGGCUCAAUCGGUCCUCCUGCCUCAGCCUCUAGAGUAGCUGGGACUCCAGGCAUGCGCCACCCUGUUAUUUCUGUGACCAGGCUUAGCACUAGGCAUUCUUUCGGACGACAGCAAUUCAAAUAAGAUGCUCUCCAAAGAACACUUGCCUAGUAGCGGCAUCUCCAAAAAUAAAUUGAUGCCGCUCCGGCUUUGAGCCUCCAGAACCAAAGAAACCUGUUUCCAGACAGCUUAUGUGAACUUCUACUUUUGGCCAAUAAGAGCUCCCACUUACCCCUGCCCUAUUCAGGUGCACCUGUGGCUUGCCAUAGCCAUAUAGCCAGGUGCACCAUCCUUUUUGCCUGCUCCUGAAUAAAUUAAUUAUAUUAGGAGA